CGCGUAGGCGGGCUUGUCGGUCAGAUGUGAAAGCCCAGGGCUCAACCCUGGACGUGCAUUUGAAACAGCAAGACUUGAGUACGGGAGAGGAAAGCGGAAUUCCUGGUGUAGAGGUGAAAUUCGUAGAUAUCAGGAGGAACACCGAUGGCGAAGGCAGCUUUCUGGACCGAUACUGACGCUGAGGCGCGAAGGCGUGGGUAGCGAACAGGAUUAGAUACCCUGGUAGUCC
RNAcentral lists this ribosomal RNA (229 nucleotides) under uncultured bacterium. Its description in RNAcentral is "partial 16S ribosomal RNA". It matches the Rfam family "Bacterial small subunit ribosomal RNA", at positions 568 to 796 of the family's 1533-position model. The record is from RNAcentral.